Molecule: unclassified non-coding RNA, 232 nt
Filed under: uncultured fungus
Lineage: Eukaryota; Fungi
Description: sequence contains ITS1
Source: RNAcentral
GUAUUGUAUUGCGUUAAACGCGACAUGCAUUCCAUGAGACUUUAUUACAGUGUGUGUGUAAAGACAUAGAACCACAGCAGGAGGACAGGGCCCCCCAGGCCAUAGAACUACAGAGGGUGCACAGGUGUGAGUGGAUGUGUAAACAGAGCGUGCACAUGCCCCCAUACAGGGGCCAGCAACAACCCUUGUUGACAAUUCGGUAAUGAUCCUUCCGCAGGUUCACCUACGGAAA